Molecule: long non-coding RNA, 257 nt
Organism: Hippocampus zosterae (dwarf seahorse)
Lineage: Eukaryota; Metazoa; Chordata; Actinopteri; Syngnathiformes; Syngnathidae
Exons: 2
Source: RefSeq, a predicted model, not a curated record
GGUGGAGCCCGCGGUGCACCUGCGGCUGAGAGGUGGAGAAAAGCUGGAUCCAGAUUGGCCGAGAGCUCCGCCCAUCCUGCAACCGCAGCCAGCGAUACUCCAUCAACUCUGACCCUGCGCGAACACGCUCGGCGUUUGAGUUUGAGCAGCGCGCCCCAUGAAAGUCAGCAAGCCGAUGACAUCGCAGAGGGCGCCGUGAGAGCAAGACGCAAGUUCCUCACUGGGACAGGAAAAGCGGAAGGCAAUCGCAAAGCUAA